Halichondria panicea is the source of this 2656-nucleotide long non-coding RNA. RefSeq lists it as uncharacterized. The record is from RefSeq and is a predicted model, not a curated record. The transcript is spliced from 5 exons. NCBI's taxonomy places the organism in Eukaryota, Metazoa, Porifera, Demospongiae, Suberitida, Halichondriidae.
CGGUGGAUGAAAAGUUUUGCAGACGAGUACAACCAAGAUUUGCUGAAUGCCCUAAGAAUCCACAAACUUUUCGCCCGGCUGGUAUGUCACAUGAAAGAGCACAGCAGAAUGUAGCAAAGCCAUACUUUUAAGGAAACCCCUUUUAAGGAAACCCCUUUCCAGUAAGUCUGACACUAUAGUGUAUUGAUUAUCAAAGAUGGCUCUUUUGGACCGGGAAUGACCCCAACAAGAAUGGUGUUCUUUAUCUUGAAACGAUUUCGUAGAUAUGUAAAGAACCCCAACAGAGUAUGUCAAAUGGCUGGAACCAGUCUACGUUUAAAAGUAGUCCAUAGCAAUUCGGCUCAGACAGAAAAGGCUUACCUUUAUAAUUAGUAAAUUCAUAAACGUCUCUAUAUGUGCAUACUUCAGAUCGUCUUUGAUUCCUUGUUGACUCACACUCUUGCAUAAAGUUUGAAUUCAAUAUGAGCGUCGGAUAUGAUACUAAAGAAGAGAUAAGGAUAGUGUCUGCAUUUGCCACUAGAGGAAACAAUUGUUUUCAAUAGAGCACAUUGGAAAAGGUUUGAAUGAGCACUUUUUCACAGACUGGCAUUCACCACGUGUGUAGAGUGAAUCACAUGUGUAGAGUGAAAAACAUUUUUGUCAAAAGAUUCGAAAUCGGGUAUAAAUGUCACCAUGUGUCUUUUGAACCUGUAAAAAGAUUGCGGAACUGCUUCUGACAGAGCCCCUACUCUUGGAGAAAGAAAAGCCAUUGCCUUAAAGAUUGCAGAAAUGAAUCGAAGAUAUCUGUGACACGGAAUUUUGUCUGAAACACUGCAACAAGAACAACAAUCCAGCUCACAAGACGAUUUAUUUGAGGGUCAUCAACAAUGAGGUCAUCCAGGUCGUCAUCAUUCUCAAUCCAACAUAAUAAUUAAUAAUUAUUAUAAUUAUUAUACCUUUAUCAGAAUCCACAAUUUCUGUGCAUCGGUACGGGUCAGACUCACCUCGGUUACUAACUUCUUCAAUACUACUGAAAUUACUACUGUGGUCAUUAUCCAUUAAGUCUUCUGUGUACCACUUCUUAGCAUCAGUGCAAUAGUACAAUCUUUCGUGUUCCUUGAAUUUCUUGUGACUUAGUUCCUUUCCACAGUGAGGACCGACUGUAUACCUGUGCAAUGCAACUCUCUUUCUUUCGAGUUAAGCCAUCGUAACAAAAGCUUGAGUAUGGUCAGUGAUAUCUAUAGUCUAUAUAAUUAUAUCUGUAGCUAGCUAGCUCAGAUCUAGCCUCCUUCACAAGGCCUAAACAUUAGGCCUGCUACUGACUGCUUGCGCAUGCGCAAAAUUAUUGGACAAUAAUCCCGUAAUGUUUCCCAUUAAACUGAAUUUUUACCCGAAUUAUAUCCUGAAUAACAUAUACCCACAAAGAAUACUCUUCAUAACGUCAGCUAGCUAGCUAGAGACAGAGCUGUAUUGGUUACAGCAGCAAUUUCUUUCUGAUAGAGUCGACUUUCACCAAGGUUAGUGUCAGAUGGGCGUGGCCUAUCCAUUUCCCCUCCGUUCAGAGGAUUGUUAUCCACACUGUUGCAGGCUGUGAGUCCUUUGUUAACAUAGUAGGCUAAGGGUAGCUAUUAGAAUGCUUCUAUCCACUUUCUUCAAUCCACAAUCCACUUCCGUUCGUUGUGACGUCAUUGUUUUACUGAGCAAAAUACAAUGGUAUCCGAAUUACCCGUGGCGCAUGCGCAAACAGUCGAUACCAGGCCCUCUCUCUUAGCGGCCUGGAAUCGAGGCUAGCUCAGAUCCAGAUCAUAUGCAGUGCAGGGCAUUAAUUUGAAAAAAGAGGUGGGGCUGGCUAUUAGAUCCACGCGCAUGCGCAAUACUUUCCAGGUGCAAGGCAGCUGCAAUCUAUAUCUCUGCACUCAAACUCUGCAAUGGGAACUCUGCAAUGGGUACCGAUUCCGAAGCUUGUUUAAGUACUGCGCUCUUCUCUUCGGACCUUGAGGAUUCAGAUGUUAUCCCACUUGUUGAUGCUACACCAUCGAUACAGGUGGCUUAGAUAAUCCUGUGCAUCGCAGAAGGUUAUUCAGUGAAACCAAUGAAAAUCUGCCUUUGAAUAAAGGAACCAGUAGCUGUACAUCCAAUAAGAAGCGUAAAAGCCAACAGAAGAUCCUUAUGAAAGCAAAUUCUACCAUUGAAGAUUAAUAUUUUAGCAAAAGCUUCUCAGGUAUAUUGGAUGCCGUUGAGAAGAGGCUAGAGGCCGUUGAGCGGAGAUACCACAGUGACCAGUACAGAUACAGGCAGCUCUGGUGUUCCCACACGGGUUAGGCAUGAGCUACGAGAAGUAUACAAGGUUCUGUUGGAUUAUGAAUCGAGAGAAUUCGAUACAAAAAAACGCUUCACUGACCCUGUGAAUCAAAAUAUUUUGCGAAAACUGGUGUCAGAAAUGAGGGCAAUUAAUUCACAUGUGGCUGCUAUAACAAUGCUGCAAGACGUUUUUAUCAAACUAAAGUGGAAGAAGCUAAAGUGGAAGAAGCUAACUUAGCGUCGGCAAAAUCGCAUUAAAAGAAAACGUGAUUGGAGAAAAUUCAACUAGACCGAAGCCACCCCUUUUUGCUGAUGAUUUCUGGGGGUUUGGUGCUGAAUAGACAAUUGAACAAAACAUGCUGCUGGCAUUGUGAAC